CAACGAUUGACUACAAGACAAAUGUUACGUACUCAUGUGCAAGAGGAUACAUCCUUACAAAUGGCAAUUUAAUAAGAACAUGUCAAGCUGACGGCCAAUUGGAUGGUAUUUCCCCAACUUGUACUCGAGAGACAAUGUGGCGGUACGUUCUGAAGCCUAUUACGGUGACGGUGAUGGCCCGAUUUGGCUGGACGAUUUUACUUGUCAAGGAAACGAAACUGUGAUUGAUUUGUGUUUGUUCAGCCAAUGGGGCCAGCACGACUGCGUACAUUCUGAAGAUGGCGGAGUUACAUGUAGUUCAAGACAGAUUAGACUACGUAACGGUUCAACGCAAUUAGAGGGUCGUGUUGAAGUUUUUCACAAUGGAAAAUGGGGUACGGUCUGUGGGAAUGGUAAAGACACAAACUUUGCCAAGGUCGUAUGUCGACAGCUUGAAUAUGCUACGGACAAUGUGGCGGUACGAUCGAGUGAAUAUUUCGGUGAAGGCAGUGACCAGAUUUGGCUGGGCGAUGUUAAAUGUCAAGGAAACGAGACUAUGAUCGAUGUAUGUAUGUCCAGCCCAUGGGGACAGCACAACUGCGGACAUAAUGAAGA
This is a long non-coding RNA of Mya arenaria, 594 nucleotides long. RefSeq lists it as uncharacterized. The record is from RefSeq and is a predicted model, not a curated record. Lineage: Eukaryota; Metazoa; Mollusca; Bivalvia; Myida; Myidae. The transcript is spliced from 4 exons.